GAAAUGGGCAGCCUGCUGUCUUCUGACCUCCGGGGUUCCUCUUUAUGAGCUUUCAAAAACAAAGGCUACAGGGAGAAGACAAUACACUAUUGACGGGUACCUGAGGAAAAUGCUGGAAUGUUUGGCUCAUUUAAGCUGGACGAGGCCCAAAUCCUGGAGGCUGUUCUGGAGAUUGGAUACUUGGAACAAUAUUCUGGCUAUUACUGGCACACCUAGGCUGCCCGAGAAGGUGAGUAAAAUGAAGACACACCAUCAGGGAGAUGAUUACUUCUUGCUUCUCAAACUGUGGCGCCUGGACCAGCAACAUCAGUCUCAUCUGGGUGUUUGCCAGAAAUGCAGAGUCUCGGGCCCCACCAGAAACCAGGCUCUUCCCCUCGUGGCGCAAUAUGGCUGCUGUUGAGCCAGACAUCCCGUCACAAUGUUCAGAAGGCAGCAGAGUGAAUAUCCUUUCCUUGGGGCUAUGUGUAGAGACAAGGAAAGCUUUCCCACAGCCACAGGACACACUUCCCCUAUUGCUAGAAUUUGCUGUGUGACGUCGCCUAGGCCAGUUGUGAACAAGGGAGGCCUGGGGGUGGGGGCGGGGUGCUCCCCAUAAUUGGCCUAAAUCAUUGCUGUCCACAUGGGGCAGAAGUGGGACCAAGUUAGCACCUGGACAAAAUCAAGGUUCUGCCGGCAGGGAAGGGGAAGGGUUAAUGAGGCAAAACCAACAAGGCUGGUCAUAGAGACCACAGUUGUGCAAACACAUUCUGUGUAGUCCCCAUGUGGAGGGAAGGUGCCCCGGCCCCCGCCUGGAGAGCCAGCUCCUUGUGGGGAAGGGGUUGGACGGGGUGGGAGGCCAGCACAUUUGGACCAAGUGGACUGGAGAAGAGAUUGCGUGAGAUUAAUAUUCUGCCCAAGCUUUGUGUUGGAAACGUGGUAUUAAAGAGUUUUCUGACACACAAAGCCCCACUUAUUAGGGUGGAGGUGGAGAGCGGUGGCUCGGAUCCCCCUCCAAGGAAGGGCCUUUUGCCCCAGCUUUGGGCGCCUCUGUUGGCAGAUGGCCUCAGCUGUCAGCCCCUCUAGGACACCCCAUGGCUGCAGAGCCCCCUCCUCCGGGUCAUGGCCCUCCUGGAACUCUCCUCAUCUGAUGAUUCAGCGGUUCUCAGCAGGGUAGGGGGUGGAGUUUCUCACACACACACACACACACACACACACACACACACACACGCACCCCGGGGACAUUUGGCAGUGUCUGGAGACAUUUCUGCUUGUCACAGCUGGGGAGGGAGUGACGCUGGCAUCUGGUGGGUUGGGGUCAGGGAUCUGCGCACAACAAAGGACGAUCAGGCUGCAGCUGUCCAAGGUGCCCAGCUGGAGAAGACCCUGAGUGCUGAUGAAGACAGGGAUGAAACCCUGGCGGCUCGGCCCCCUCUGGGACCCUCUGAGAGGCCAGUCCAGCUCCAGAAACCCCCAUGAGGGGGACGGCUGAGCAGCCCUCUCCCUCUGCCUCUCCCGUGUCCUUUCCUGCCCUUCCACAAGGUGGAUCUCAAGGGCACACCUUAAUAGACUGUGCAUUUCACCUCCCUCUCAGAGUCUGCCCCUCUGGGGAUGCGAACGGAGACAGUCGUUCUCCAGGAAAAUUCUAGCAAGGCAAAAAUCUGCUAUGCAUUCUGUAGGCAGUGAAAACUGCAAAUCUCUGACUCCCAAGAUAACUACUGUUCAUCACCGGUGGAUGUUCAUCCUGAGUUUUGUUUUUUUUUUUUCCUCCCCAGGCAUCUGGUAGGUACCUGUUCUUUGUGCUGGCCAGCUUCCAAGCUCUUUCUGGUAACCAGGCCUGGCCUUGGGGAUCACCCCAAGGUGAUCUCCUAUGCUCAGGCCACCAGGUUUGCCAGGACCUGACUCCUUGCAUCUCCUCCCCCAAUCCCCCUCCCCAGAUGGGCAGAGGACCCAGGCCUGCCUAAUCAGCAUAGUCCUGCCUUCUGACCUCUGUGAUUGGUUCAGCAGUGGGCAUGUGUUCCAAGCAAGGCAGGUGAGUGUCAGCCUGAGGAAUCUGUUGGAAAAAAGAAUGCUUUCUGCUCUUGUUGCUUAGCGGGUAGAACAGAAACCUGGAGCUGCCUGGAGCCCCAGGUGGAGAGAGACUGCUUGAGAAGAAAGCCAAAACAGACACAAACUGAACAGAGAGAUGGGGAGUCUGAAAUGGCCUGGCGAAGGUAGUAAGCCCUGGAUCAAGCUACACCUGAAGACACAUUCCUGUUUUUUCUUUCUUGCUUUCUUAUUAGCCAGGACAAUAAUUUCCAUUUUUUUGGUCAUUGAGUCCCUGUUAUGAGUUGAAUUGUGUUCCUUCCCUCAGAAUGAUAUGUUGAGGGGCGCCUUGGUGGCUCAGUUGGUUAAGCAGCUGCCUUUGGGUUGGGUUGUGACCUCAGGGUACUGGGAUCGAGCCCCACGUCGGGC
Molecule: long non-coding RNA, 2430 nt
Organism: Lutra lutra (Eurasian river otter)
Lineage: Eukaryota; Metazoa; Chordata; Mammalia; Carnivora; Mustelidae
Exons: 3
Source: RefSeq, a predicted model, not a curated record